Molecule: RNA transcript, 3286 nt
Organism: Numida meleagris (helmeted guineafowl)
Lineage: Eukaryota; Metazoa; Chordata; Aves; Galliformes; Numididae
Gene: DZANK1
Gene name: double zinc ribbon and ankyrin repeat domains 1
Exons: 17
Source: RefSeq, a predicted model, not a curated record
UGUGCUUUUUUUGUUGUUCUUCUUCUGCUUUAGAGAUCACUGCUGAGAAGGAUGACGGCGGGCUCUGUUUCAGUGCCGCAGGUCAUACCUCUUCGGAUCCCUCUUCCAGGGAGGGCCAAGCACCGGAUAGACACCAGCACCCGGGUAGAAAUAAAGUCAGAUACACCUGAGGUCUCUAUUUAUUACACUUUAGAUGGAAGUAAACCAGAACUUUUUAGGAAACCUGGCUAUGGAGAGCAUAACACUUUUGAGUAUAAGAGUCCUAUCGUGUUACCAGUUGGGAAAAUAACAGUCAAGGCGCUUGCGGUUACCAAAGACUGCAGGGAGAGUGCUGUUGUAACAAAGGUGUUUCUAGUAGAGUACAAGCAACCAAACAUCCUCUUCUCUAUGGAAGACCAUGACAAGAAGGUCCUAAAAGAUGUCACAACACAGGAGAAGGAAGAUGGAAUAUUUACUACAAAACCAAAAAAAAAUGGAAUGAAUGUGGAAAUCAAGCCUGCCUGGAGUGAAACACUCCAAGAAUUUCGAGACUUGGAAACAGAAAGAAAGACUGAUCACAAGGCCCUGCAAACACCACAGCUCCUGACCAGCCCCGUGGGAACAGCAGGGUGUGGAGAGGAAUCCUCACUACUACCAGCGGAGUCCUUACAGUUUGCCAGUUCUGCAGUGACCAGCCGGAAGAGCCUAGCAAGCACACAGGUGGCGAGGAUCCAGAGGGAGAGAGGUUUCCUCAGAUGUGCACACUGCUCUGCACCUCGCCUGUCUGACCCCUUGGCUCACUUCUGCCAGGAAUGUGGCUUUCCUAUCCCACCCGUACCAGUGCGGCGCUUCCCAUCCCCUGAAGGAGCGCAGAUGGCACCAUGUCUUGAAUGCAGACAUCUUGUGCCAAUGAAUACACCCACUUGCAUUGUGUGUGAGUCACCAAUAGAUCCACAGCUGCAGCCCCAAACCAACACCUGCGUGAAGGGCAAAGUAAUUUGUCAGGCAUGUGGCACAGGAAAUCCUCGUCACCAUAAACACUGUGUGACCUGCGAAAGUGAACUGCCUGAAACACAGAUGCCCAUGUUUGGAAGAGAUCCCCCCCCACCUUACACCAGUCAGCAAGGGAAGACAGUAUUGUGCUCAAAAUGCAAUUGUGUGAACCACUGUGAUGCACGUUUCUGUGUCUGGUGUGGAGCCAAGCCUGACCCUCUUCCAUGCUACUUUAUUUGUUGCAAGUGUGGUACAAAAACCCGUCCAUAUGCUCGGUUCUGUGGGUCCUGUGGUGUUUACAUAGAGCCCCCAUCAAGACUGAGUUCUCAGAAUGGAGUCCUCAUGGAUUCUGGAGACUCACUGAGGUUUUCUGAGGCUAAAUCACUUCCAGCUCAAAUUGCCUGGCAGCCUCUUCCUAUUUCCUUGUCCAAAUCAAGAGCAUAUCUAAAAGAAACAGAAGAUAAAGGAACCCAAACCGUUGGACUUUUUUACCCAUCUAGCAAACUGUUGGAAAAGAAGGAACUUGAGCUGGUUUUACACAAAGAAAAGCUGCAAAAGAUGAGUGAUCAUAAGCCUCUCCUGACAGCCAUCAGUCCUGGAAAAGGCUACUGGAGAAAACAGCUGGAUCAUGUUUGCGCUCACCUUAGAAGCUAUGCCCAGAACAACCUUGAAUUUAGAGCACUGGUUGGAGAACCUCGAAUGGGAAAGAUUACUUCUGCUGCCAUCCAUGAGAAUGACCAUCAAGUCACUAUUACGUUAAAUUACGCUCUUGCUACGAACAAGGGUAUUCAUACCAAACCGGUCAAGUUCAAUAAUCAUUACCUGAACAGCGUAACAGAGGGCAGAGAUGAACAGGAUGGCAGUCAGACUAGUUCUGGCAAAGAAGAUCAGAAUCUUUCAUAUUCAAGAGGGAAAACAGAGAGAACAAAGUCAAAAACACUCACAAAAAAAGAAGAUAAUCCCUCUGUAUGUGUCUGCAGCUGGUAAAGGAAAAACUAGAUAUAGAACAGCACUGACAAGAAAAAGGGCACCCAAGAAUAAAAAUAGAAAGCUGACUUGGGGAAAUGGAGUGAGGAGGGAGGGACAGAAGUCCAACUUAAUUCAAAACCUGAAAAUUGAUGGCUGGCAUUUAUUUCAAAACUGAACAUAGUCAAGCUUUCUUCCCACCAAAAGCUUCACGAGACUAUUCCUGGUUUUGGAUUCAUCCUGUUUUAAUGACACAGCGUUAGGCCUAAAUACUGUUGCAGAAUGAUUUCUUACAGGUUUUUCUAAGAAGCGACAUCUGAUGGAGGCAUUACCAUUUCCGCUUGAUGUUAUCAUCUGGUUCUGACCCCACAGGACAUCCCCUUGGCUGUGCUAUAGCUGCUGUUUGCAAUCUGACUGCAAACAAGAUGGGUUACGCGACCUAUGCAACACGUUUUGGAUGAGCUCAGUUUUCUCACCAAGCUGAGAUGUCAGCACAGCUAAGGCAUUCCGUAAUGCAAGAAGCAAACCUCUAUUUCCACUUGUGACCAAACAUUCAGGAAGCACUGCCUACUAUUUUAUUUAUUAUUUCAAAAGGGAAAUGUGCAGUUAUCUGGGCGUGGAUCACUCAGCCUACUCAAUAGGGGGAAGAAGAUGUAGAGCUUUGUGAUGCGAGUCCAGAGAUAAAAAUGCUUUGUCACGUGAGUGGGCUUCUGAAAAGGGGGAAGAAGGUGGAAGGGUGGAAAGAAAUAAAAUGAAAAAGGUGUUGGUUUUGUUAAGAUUUAGUUAAAUAACUUCUGUAAGGCAAUUAUACUCAUUUUCUAAGUAACAUGCUCCCAGAAGUUCUGGAAGCUUCAGACUUUUGAUUCUGUAGGAAAGAACCAAUGCCAUGUUUAAUUUUACUGUCUUGAGAAAAUCUCUGUACAGCCCUGGACAGGUGUAUCGAUGUAAAGCUAGUCACUUGCAGAUCUGUUCACAGAAUCAAGACUUCAGUAGUGAGAUAUUAGCCUGGGUUAUCCAGCACUGGCUCAGAUUCAGAAAGAAAUUCCCAUGGAAGAGUCUGGGGUAAUGCAGGCUCAACUAUAUUGCAGUCUUCCCUCAACUACAUUUUGUAUGCAUUUUCCACCUUCACUCAAAUGCAGAUAUCCCACUUGUAUUUCCACUAUGUGAAAUGUUAGUGGCAGUUUUCUGUGUUUCCACAGCCAGAGUCCAGACAGCUACUGGAUGAACUGGGUCCAAAUGGGAAAGGAAGAAUCACCUUGAUAGAACAGUUGCUUAGUGAAGGAGCUGAUCCAAACUGCACCAGUGACGAGGACCGACCUGCUCUGACGGUGGCUGUCCUUAACAGGCA